This 440-nucleotide ribosomal RNA is filed under the name uncultured bacterium. RNAcentral's name for it is "partial 16S ribosomal RNA". It matches the Rfam family "Bacterial small subunit ribosomal RNA", at positions 338 to 795 of the family's 1533-position model. The record is from RNAcentral.
CCUACGGGUGGCAGCAGUAGGGAAUAUUGCUCAAUGGGGGAAACCCUGAAGCAGCAACGCCGCGUGGAGGAUGAAGGUUUUCGGAUUGUAAACCUCUUUUGUUAGAGAAGAUAAUGACGGUAUCUAACGAAUAAGCACCGGCUAACUCCGUGCCAGCAGCCGCGGUAAUACGGAGGGGGCAAGCGUUAUCCGGAUUCACUGGGCGUAAAGGGAGCGUAGGCGGGAUAGCAAGUCAGAAGUGAAAUCCUAUGGCUUAACCAUAGAACUGCAUCUGAAACUGUUAUUCUAGAGUAUGGGAGAGGUAAGUGGAAUUCGUGGUGUAGGGGUAAAAUCCGUAGAGAUCAAGAGGAAUACUCGUUGCGAAGGCGACCUGCUAGAAUAUAACUGACGCUGAUGCGCGAAAGCGUGGGGAGCAAACAGGAUGAGAUACCCGGGUAGUC